Molecule: long non-coding RNA, 450 nt
Filed under: Calidris pugnax (ruff)
Lineage: Eukaryota; Metazoa; Chordata; Aves; Charadriiformes; Scolopacidae
Description: lncRNA (ENSCPUG00000003888.1)
Source: RNAcentral
UGGGCAGUUAGCCCACAAAAGUGGAUUGUUUUUGAAAAGGACAAAAGUCAGAUUUGCAAGGUUUAUCAAUAUACAGACCGUGCUGGUUUCAUAUGUGACAAGGAGGCAAGCAAACAGUGGAGAACGGCAGUAGAUACGAUAUAGAUAAGCAAGAAAGAAAAAUUAAGGACAAAAAGACAGACCAGUUUCUAAAAAUUCAGGUACCACAAUGAAGUCUCUGCCACCCUUAUUUACACCCUCAUCUCCAACAACACUUCAUCUCCUGCUCAAGCCUUCAUCCUAAAAGCAACAUUAAGUGCUUUCCUGGAACAGACUAGUGAACUACAUGCUCAGAUGAUCUCUAUAAUUUCUUAUUUUUGAAGCCAUAUGACUGCAAUAACAUCAUGCUAGCAACAAAUUAUGUUAUAAAUUGUACAUAACUGUAUAGAAAUAAACCUGCAAGGUAUCUCA